GUUUCUUCCAUUUUUUCGAGUAAUCAUUUUGUGUUUAUUCUUUCUUCCAUAAUUGUUGGAACGAAGAAUAAACUGCCUUAAAUCAUGGGUGUUUACACUGAAGCUUACAGCCUUGGAGUGACGUAAAAACCUUUAAGGACAUAAAUUUUCCGUACAAUCAUUGACGGGUCGAAGACCUACAACUACGAGGUAAAGUAGCGGAAGAUGAGAACAAGGAGAACACUAUUGAACAAACCAAUGACUCCUUGAACUCUGAAUAUGUUGCUUCUAACUCAGUUACUUCUAAACCUACUGUUGGUAAAUAUAGGCCACCAAAACAAGCGAAACAAAGUGCCUACUGCAAGUGUGCUUGUAGGAACAAUCAGAGACAAGGCAAGGCCAUGCCACCAGGGGCAGGAAGAAACAAUUCCUACGUGAAGAAAAAGACAUGUUUUCACUUUGGAACACCUGGACACAUUGCCAUAAAUUAUCCUAAUCGCACAUACGUUCCCUACUACGCACAAGGAUGGUGGAACGCGUUAAGAGGAAGAUACCCCAAAAGAAGCCCUUCAAGGUCACAAUCACGCAAUGGUGACUGGAAUGCCAGACAAGAAGUCUGAUCCAAGAGAUGCUCCAGUGAAACCAAGAUCAGUUAGGUCAAAGUCAUCUCAACGGCCGACUUCAAGUUCAAAAUCAAGUAUUGAGCCACCCAUCUGUUCGAACAAGAAAUGGGUUAAACCCGACUACAGAUGGGUACCAAAGGUUCAAUCUCCCAAAUCUUUAAAUGAUUCUAACAUUUCUUCAUAUUCUGUUUCUGAUAAGCAGGAUAUGUCAUGGGAGAGAGUACCAUGCAAAGAUGACAAAGGUUAACCCAGUUUCAAAAUGGAUUGGGUUCCAAAGACCAAUUGAUCCCGCUUUUUACUGGAGCAGCUAUGGAGGCAUAUCAUCAGACUUCGGUUUUUUGAUAAUGGUUGUUCCAGGCACAUGAUAGGGGCAUCUCUCAACUGUACAACACUCAGAACUUUAAGUGGGAGUAUGUGACCUUUGCGGGAAAGGAAGAAAAUAAAGGAUCACACAUGGGGUUUUGUGCUUAACGAUGUGAAGAAUUUUCGUAUCUGUUCUGAGAUCAAAAUAUGUGUGCUGUUCUUAGACCUUCUAGAUACAAAUUCAAUCGGUGACUUACGAUUUGAUUUUUCUUCUUGAUACUCCUGAGUUUUCUAUUACAAUGAUUCGUUUCAAAGACAUUUUUUUAAUUUUCUUAUAUGUCUAAUGGGAAGUGAUAUGAAGUCUAGUUCUAAAGGGCAAUCUGAAAUUCUUGUAAUGCACUAAAGCCGAAUUGUCUAGACUAUGUGUUCAAUGUACUGGUAGGCACAAAGGAUUCAAAAGGACUAGACUUAGUUUAACAAUCGAAAGGAAUUGAAAAUGUGAACUUAGAUAUUAUCAUUUGGACUGACCAUACGAUGCUUGGGUAGAUUGAGUAGUGAGAUAAACAUUAGAACCUGCAGGAUACACUAAAAGUUAUUUAUCUAGAAUUGUGGCUCAACAUAUCCUCGAUGUAUGGACUUAUGUCCUUAAUUUCGGUACUGAUAGGGCGACUGGGGGUUCUGAUAAAGUAGGUUUGUAGGAAAUUAUUUUCUUGCUUUCUAUCUAUUUGUCAUAUGUUUCUUCCUUUGCAUGAUUGGAAUAUAUCCGACCUGGAUCGCAACAUAUGCAAGUCUAUCUCUAUGCAUCUUCUUAUCUAUGCAAUUCUUUCUAUCUGUUAGCCAUAUGUUGUUCCCUCUGCGUGAUUGGAAGAUCCGACUUGGGAGACAACAUAUGCAUCCUACUAUCUCUCUAAUCCUCUAUCUGUGUUAGUCAUAUGUUUUUCCUUCUGCGUGAUUGGAAGACAUCCGACCUGGGAUACAACAUAUGACUUCUAUAUCUAACUUCUUUCUUAAUGAUUGAAUACUCACCUAAAGUAAGGAGUUCUUUGGAAGUUCUUGAUUGCCAAGGUAUAUCGGGAAGUGGGAACACGUUCUAGUGCAUCUAAAAUUGAACCGUUCAAAAGGUUGUCUGUAGAUCUUGCUGUUGAAUUUAAGUGGACAACAAUAUAUGUGGUCGUCGUCAGCCAAAUGGUCUAUUUAGGAAUAAGAUCACAAUGAAUUGUCACUUAUAAUCUGUCCAAUUUGUCAAUAUCCUUUGUGUUUAAGUGAACCACAAUACCGGUGAUUGACCAGAUCUAUAUAUGCAGGCGUGUGCUGAUAAUCGAAAUUGAAUUGCUUGACAACUUUGAUCCCAAAUAAUUUUGUUUUUAUUAAAUAUGUUCAUAGUUUUCCUUUAUGCAUAAAUUUAAGGGGGGAAUUACAAAUUUUAAAAAAGUCAAACAAAAAUCAGAAAACCAAAAAUCCAAAAAUAUUGUUAUUUCUGUUUUAUUUCUUUUUUCAGAAAAAGCAAAAAUCCAAAAAUAUUUUUGUUUCUGUUUUUUUUAGAAAAUAUGAAAAAUACAAAAAUAUUGUGUGCUAAGUUUUCUUUUAGUAUUGUUUUAUCUUAAAUUUUCUUUGUCUUGAAAAGUGAAUUCAGAUGUAGAUGAGACUCAUGGAGACUGUAUCGAAAAUUUCUAAGCCAAAGGUUCAUCCGUGAUCAUUGAAGAAUUCUUAUUCGAAGGAACCAGAAAUGAAGAUUAUUCUUUCAACACUCAAUCUUUCAACCCCAGAAGCAAGGUGAAGUUGUACAUGCAGAUUAUGUGACAGAUUGCAUUGAAGCCUCCUCAAUCAAUUUUCUGCUAUCUAUAAACCUGCUGAUGUGAUCCAGAAGAAUCGGUCUCUCAGAUAUUCUCUCUGAAGAUUCUCAAGCUGAAAGCGUCAUUUUUCAAAAAUCCCUACAUGAAGCCUCCUCACCCAAAUGUGCGUUCAGAGUCAAAUUUUGAAAAAUGUCUAACUGUUCAAGAUGAAGUCACUCACUUAGAAGAUUCAUAUGCUCAUAUUGAAGUCGUGAAGAAAUUGAAGAUUAAUGUUGAAGCCAAGCUCAAAAUGAAGAUUGACAAGAAAAUCUAGCUACAUUUUUAGGGGGAGUUUGUUGGGUCAAAAGAAAAGAAAGCUAUAAACCAAGGGGGAAAUUGUUGGGUAUAAAAAAUGUGGUUUAUACUUUACUUUUCUAGGCUUUAAUAGUUUUUGGUCUAGUACUGAAAACAGCCUUGGUUUUAUGGUUUAUGUGGUGUUUGUGGUUGGGUGUGUUUGCAGCUGCAAACUCUUUGUGGUUGUAAACGUGUUUGCAACCACUAUUGCCUAUUUUUAUAGUGUCAGUAGAGUCAUAUCAGAUAAGGGCUAAGUGUGUGUAAAUCAAGGUGUUCUAAAAAGAGAAAGUGAGAGAGAAAAAGAGCGUAUGUGUGUGUGAAUCUCAUAUGUAUGGAGCAUCAAUCUCAUAAUUGAAUACAUCAUAGAUUCAUCUUCUUCUUCU
Molecule: long non-coding RNA, 3414 nt
Organism: Lactuca sativa (garden lettuce)
Lineage: Eukaryota; Viridiplantae; Streptophyta; Magnoliopsida; Asterales; Asteraceae
Source: RefSeq, a predicted model, not a curated record